RNAcentral lists this transfer RNA (69 nucleotides) under Leucosyrinx sp. MNHN IM 2013-19304. RNAcentral describes it as "tRNA-Asn". The record is from RNAcentral. Lineage: Eukaryota; Metazoa; Mollusca; Gastropoda; Neogastropoda; Turridae.
UAAGUGAAAGCCAAAAGAUUGAGGCGCCUAGCUGUUAAUUAGGAGACUGUAAAAUAAAUACUCACUUAG